Molecule: long non-coding RNA, 897 nt
Organism: Felis catus (domestic cat)
Lineage: Eukaryota; Metazoa; Chordata; Mammalia; Carnivora; Felidae
Exons: 2
Source: RefSeq, a predicted model, not a curated record
AAAAUUCUCUGCCUAUCCGUACUGCAAAAAAAAAAAAAAAAAAUGAGAAGAAAGUGUUCUGAAGAGAACACAAGGGUGUGGCCGAAACAUCAUUUGAUAAGGAGAUCAAUAUGGGUGUGAACCAUGAAUUUAAUCAGCCACCUUGGAAGAAGCCAGAAAGAGAUGGGAUUAUACCAGCAGACAUACUGCCAGGACAAGGGAAAGAAAUGAAAGAUAAAUGAAGGAAGACUGUCAGACUUCUUGGAUUCCACAGAACUGGACAAAACUGCUGUUUGGCUGCAAAUGCUCACUAUUCUUAAAGAAAAGGGAACAAGGACCCCAAAGGUGCACAGCCGGAGAGGAAUUUGGCCUCAGGAUGAAUUGUAUCUCCAGUCACACCCAUACCUGAUUGACAUGAUAUUUAGCUGAUAGAGACUUUGGGGUUUAUAGGUGACGUUGGGAUGAGUUAAAAAUUAGGGGGUUGUUGGGACGGAAAGAAUGUAUUUUGCAUAUAAUAAGGGCAUGAAUUUGGGGGGGGGGGGCAGGGGUGGAAUGCCAUGGCCUGAACUGUGUUCUCCUCAAAUUCAUGUUGAAGCCCUAACCCUCAGCGUAGCCAAAUGUGGAGAUGGGCCUUUAGGUGGUAAUUGAGGUUAAAGGAGUUCAUAAGGGUGGGGUCUUCAUCUGAUAGGAUUAGUGUCCUUAUAAGAAGAAAUGCCAGAGUGCUCUCUCCUUCUGUUUUGCCCUCCCCUUCCCCACUUCUUCCCCUCCUUCUCCCCAUGCUCAAAGGAAAGGCCAUGUAAGGCCAAACCUACCAUCUGCAAGCCAAGAAGGAAAGCGUCACCAAAAACCAAACCCUGCUGGAAACUUGAUCUUCCCUUUCAGCCUCUGGAAUAAAGAAACUUAAUUUCUGUUGUUGAA